AUAAACGCUGGCGGCGUGCAUGAGACAUGCAAGUCGAACGAACGACCUAGGCUUGCCUGGGAAGUUAGUGGCGAACGGCUGAGUAACGCGUAGGUGACCUGCCCGGAAGUGGGGAAUAACUGCCCGAAAGGGUGGCUAAUACCGCAUGUGGCCACGCGUUCGUUCGUGUGACCAAAGCCGCGAGGCGCUUCCGGAGGGGCCUGCGUUCGAUUAGCUCGUUGGUGGGGUAACGGCUCACCAAGGCGACGAUCGAUAGGUGGUCUGAGAGGAUGAUCACCCAGACUGGGACUGAGACACGGCCCAGACUCCUACGGGAGGCAGCAGUCGGGAAUUUUGCUCAAUGGGCGAAAGCCUGAAGCAGCAACGCCGCGUGAGGGAUGAAGGCCUUCGGGUUGUAAACCUCUUUUCUCAGGGACGAUGAUGACGGUACCUGAGGAAUAAGCCACGGCUAACUACGU
RNAcentral lists this ribosomal RNA (458 nucleotides) under uncultured bacterium. RNAcentral describes it as "bacterial SSU rRNA". It matches the Rfam family "Bacterial small subunit ribosomal RNA", at positions 29 to 506 of the family's 1533-position model. The record is from RNAcentral.